UGACCAUUUCUUUAUCCGGUAAAUCGAGAACGAUAAAGAGAUUAAAUGCCAUACGGACAGCUAGGUCGAAUGCCGG
Molecule: small RNA, 76 nt
Filed under: unclassified sequences
Description: Streptococcus sRNA SpF59 (ldcC RNA)
Rfam family: Streptococcus sRNA SpF59 (ldcC RNA)
Source: Rfam by way of RNAcentral